Molecule: long non-coding RNA, 417 nt
Organism: Mirounga angustirostris (Northern elephant seal)
Lineage: Eukaryota; Metazoa; Chordata; Mammalia; Carnivora; Phocidae
Exons: 3
Source: RefSeq, a predicted model, not a curated record
CUGUCCUGGGCCAAACGCCAGGAACCACAUUCAACUGGUUUGAGCCAGAGAGAUCAGCUUCUACCAACUCUUCUGGUGGGAGCUGCUGGGAGCUGCAUUUCUCAGGAGUGUGAUGUCAGGAACUCAGCUCUCAUUAUUUCCUUGAAGGAGAGGACAGGAAACGCAUUCAGUCAUCUAUCUGAUGUUCAUCAAGCACCUACUGUGUGCCCCUGGCCUGGGUACUGAGGAGUCCCAGCCUAGUGUGGACAGCUAAUAUUAGGGUUGUGACAUCUAUGCAGAGACCAGGACAGAUGGGUUCCUCCUGCAUCUCCAGGGCCACGGCCACACCCUGGAUUAUAUGCUACUCCCAGGGCUCCAGCUGUGACCCACUUGUCUUUCCCAAAAAAGAAAGCAUAUCUGAACGCAAGUGUUUGAGGG